RNAcentral lists this ribosomal RNA (253 nucleotides) under uncultured bacterium. RNAcentral describes it as "partial 16S ribosomal RNA". It matches the Rfam family "Bacterial small subunit ribosomal RNA", at positions 524 to 776 of the family's 1533-position model. The record is from RNAcentral.
UACGUAGGGUGCAAGCGUUGUCCGGAAUUAUUGGGCGUAAAGAGCUCGUAGGCGGUUUGUCGCGUCGGAUGUGAAAGCCCGGGGCUUAACCCCGGGCCUGCAUUCGAUACGGGCUGACUAGAGUUCGGCAGGGGAGACUGGAAUUCCUGGUGUAGCGGUGAAAUGCGCAGAUAUCAGGAGGAACACCGGUGGCGAAGGCGGGUCUCUGGGCCGAUACUGACGCUGAGACGCGAAAGCGUGGGGAGCAAACAGG